This 556-nucleotide long non-coding RNA is filed under the name Olea europaea (common olive). RNAcentral's name for it is "long non-coding RNA (OEUR_LNC007075)". The record is from RNAcentral. Lineage: Eukaryota; Viridiplantae; Streptophyta; Magnoliopsida; Lamiales; Oleaceae.
AAAAAAUGAAAGAUAUGGACGUUUUUCACAAAAACCUUAAAAGGUAGGGACGUCUUGUGCCAAUUACCUUACUCACACCCUUGUCAAUCAGCAGCGUGAUAGUCUGGCCCGACCCCGUAGACACAAUAAAAACCAGACAAUGGUUUGAAAUUUGGCUUUGAACUGGGAGUGUCUUGAAGAGGGAGCUAUAGGAGGACAUGGUGUGGGCCCAGGUAUUUGUAGACCAUAUACGAUUGUUGCGCUUGUCAAGGGAGAUGUAAGAGCGGUGGGUGAAAUCACUGGUGGAUCUAGAGAACACAGUGUGUGGCUUCGGGUUUGGGUCGGAUUAUAAAGAUGUAAAAGGGUCAAUGUAGCAAUUGUUAUAGCGACAAACUAGAGCUUGUUGAAAUGAAACGGAGGUCUGUGUGGAUAUUGACCAUACUUGAGGAUCAAAAAAGUGGGAUUGGAUGGGGAAAAAGUUGACAGUGGUCGUGGUGGUGGGAGAGAAGGAAGAGAAGGAAUUUUUUUUUUAUUGUUUUUAAUUUUUUAAUAAUUUGUUUGGGACUCUGAUUUUUUU